GCAGGUGUCCAAGGCGGUGGGAAGCUAGCGGGUUUAGGCAGGUUCGGAGCGGUGCAGCAGCCUUCAGCGGAGCAGGGACCGCAAAGGGAGAGCCGGCGGAACCCAGGACGCCGUCAGAAGGCUGCUUGUAGCCCAUCCACACCGCGCCAGGUGAUGUCCUUACCAGAGGUGAUUUCGCAAUGUGUGCAACAGAAGAAUAAACCCUAGUUCAUUGGUUUUCAACGUUAAAAUCAAUCAAUAUUAAGGAGCGCAAGGGUCAGAAACACAGCAACUGUCCUGGUCGCUGCUCCACCCCCUCUGCCGAUCCGGGGAGGGCUGCAACUACCACGUCUCCUCCCAUACAUGUGGAGUCACCAGCCGCUUCUUUUCACCUGACCGUGAGGAGUUUCAACAGGGGGAUGUAGCGCGUGGGACAAUCAUGCUAUUCCCCCAGCCCCACCCACCGAACAGGUGCCCCGAGCGACCAGGACACAUACCCACAUCUGGUUUCCUACCCGCACACAUGGCCAAUUGUGUCUGUAGGGACGCCCAACCAAGCUGGAGGGAACACGGGGAUUCGAACCGGUGAUCCUUGUGUUGGUAGCCAACAGAAUAGACCGCUACUCUACCUGGACACCCUGGUGAUACAUUUCUAAUGCACCGUUGCAUCUCUUACGAAAAGGUGGGCCGGUCGUCCUUAAACAGAAGGGAACAGCGUUGUUGUUUAUUUGUAAGGCUGUGCUGCAGAAACGGCCUGCUACCGCUGCUCGCUGUCUGGGUCCGUGUAAAUACGCCACUCACAACGUCCGGUCACGGGCCAUUUGCACAUCAGCGGCACCUCUCGUUCACGCUGAACUUGGAGAAAGUGGGUUCAGAUACGUCGCUGCAUACAAAUGGAACGUGGCUUCAGACCCAUCUGAAGCCACGUUCUCUUAUUUCACCUGAACAUUUUCGAAGGUCGUACUUAUGUGUUGGCAGUCACUCUUGUACAUGCUUUUCUUAAUUGUGUAAUAUGUAUAAUCUGUGUCUGUGAAUUAUUGGUGCGUCUGUCUAUGUGUAAACUGUAUAUGUUUAUCUUUUUAGUACACAGGUCUCUCUCGAAAAAGAGAUCCCAAGUUCAGUAAGACUACCUGAUUAUAUAAAGGCUUAAAAA
Molecule: long non-coding RNA, 1132 nt
Organism: Lampris incognitus (smalleye Pacific opah)
Lineage: Eukaryota; Metazoa; Chordata; Actinopteri; Lampriformes; Lampridae
Exons: 3
Source: RefSeq, a predicted model, not a curated record